Long non-coding RNA from Penaeus indicus, 569 nucleotides. RefSeq lists it as uncharacterized. Lineage: Eukaryota; Metazoa; Arthropoda; Malacostraca; Decapoda; Penaeidae. The transcript has 3 exons. The record is from RefSeq and is a predicted model, not a curated record.
AGUUUCUCGUAUACCUCCAGGCAGCCUGUUACUUGGAGGAGGAGGGAGGGGAUGAGAGGGCUAUAGAGUGUGUGGAGCGAUGAACCAGAAGAGAUGAACAGAAUAGCAGUGGCCUAGGAAAACUGGCCGAGACGCAACGACCGCAGUUUCGUCCCCGGCUGCUCCCCGGCCAGUUGCAAUUUGCUGUGUUUUUUGUAUGGUGAUCGUAUACAGUUAGUGCAGCGGCCAAGCAAGGAUUAUUUAAUUGUAGUGAUUAAGAGGGGGGAAAAAAUACUGCAUGGCCUCGGACGUGGUGAUUCAUUCGUGGUUUUUAUUAUGAAGUUGAUCCUGCUUGUGACGUUCCCAGUAUGUAGAUAAGGAGGGCGCGAAGGGAAAACAAGUGAGCAUCGCACUUCGUCAGGCUGCCUCACCUGAUUGACUAAAAAAAAAAAAAGGAUCACAGACGCAGGCCGACGCUCAGUUCCUGCCGCCAUGUCUCUGGAAAUUCAAGUCGUCAGGGCCUCCAACCUGCAGAACCUCGAGAAUUUCGGCAAAAGCGACCCUUAUGUCACCGUCGAUUUCCAAGGCGA